This 60-nucleotide microRNA precursor is filed under the name Limulus polyphemus (Atlantic horseshoe crab). RNAcentral describes it as "Lpo-Mir-96-P1u_pre stem-loop". Lineage: Eukaryota; Metazoa; Arthropoda; Merostomata; Xiphosura; Limulidae. The record is from RNAcentral.
UUUGGCACUAGCACAUUUUUGUGUCAUAUUUCUACACAAAAAUUGUAUUAGUGUCAAGUA